AUGUAUUGUCCAUUCUGUGGAUUCCAGUUUGAGAACUUGACAAAAUUUUGCUGUUCCUGUGGAAAAGACAUAAGUUUUGUACCAGCUAAAGAUGCUUCCACAGAACAAGAACACUCAAGAGCCAAGACAGUUGUUCAGCAGUUCUUCAAGUACCGUGAAGGUAAAGAGGCAGAAAGGAGGAUGUUCUCAAAAUCCAAAAAGAAAUCAAUGAAAACAGUGAAGAUUUCUGUUGGGAUCAUGAACAAACAAAAGACUGGCAUGAGACCCAUAAGAGGGAAAUCACUACCAUUACAUGUUGACCCAAGCUGGUCAUCUGAGAGGCUGUUGGGUGCUGCCAUUAAAAAACUGAAAGAUUUCAACCAAGAUAUGAAAGAUGUAGAAUACAUCCUGCUCUACCCUGAUGGCUCUCAAAUAAAAAAUAUUCCAGGAACUGACACACCCUUUACGAUUGAACUCUACAAAGAGGCCGUUGGCAAGUCUUACCAAAGAAUUACACUAUUUGUCUGCACACUUGAGGACUUUUUGUCAGAAUAUGUUAGUGCUUCAGAAGAUGAGGAGGAUGAUGAAGUUAUCGUUAGGGUACCACCCGUUACGUCACCCCUCUCUGACACAGUGGUAUGUAAAUCUCAAGGAUUCAUUAGUUCGAGAUGUUAG
This is a long non-coding RNA of Oreochromis niloticus (Nile tilapia), 654 nucleotides long. Lineage: Eukaryota; Metazoa; Chordata; Actinopteri; Cichliformes; Cichlidae. The record is from Ensembl.